RNAcentral lists this unclassified non-coding RNA (760 nucleotides) under Hevea brasiliensis (rubber tree). Lineage: Eukaryota; Viridiplantae; Streptophyta; Magnoliopsida; Malpighiales; Euphorbiaceae. The record is from RNAcentral.
CUUUCCUGUCCUAUUAUCCUCCAAUGGCUAAUUCGCAGCAAAUCGAAACCUCCAUAAACCCUAGCCCUAAUCCUCCUCCUCCGGGAUCCCCACCGCCGGCUGCCGCCGUUGUUUCUCGACCGUCAGAUGAUGAAACGAAUCGUUCCGCCACCGCUAAACGUUCACGGGAGGAAUACGCCCCUGCCGCCACGGACGAGGCUGGUUUGUCUGGUGACGAUGUGCCGCCGUUGAAGAAGCGGGUUAAGGUUUCUCAAGAUGUAGUGUACCGUAUUGUUGUUCCUUCAAGACAGAUCGGGAAAGUUAUUGGUAAAGCAGGGCAUCGUAUACAGAAGAUUCGUGAAGAAACUAAAGCUACUAUCAAAGUUGCUGAUGCUAUCGCUCGUCAUGAAGAGCGAGUAAUUAUCAUUAGCUCCAGGGACAAUGAUGAUAUGUUCAGUGACGCGGAGAAUGCCCUUCAUCAAAUUGUGUCACUUAUUUUAAAGGAUGAUGGCAACCUUGAUGCGCAAAAAGUUGGUACUGGACAUGUGGCAGCAAACACGGUAAGGUUCUUGAUUGCUGGUUCUCAAGCAGGUGGUUUGAUAGGAAUGUCUGGUCAAAAUAUUGAAACUUUGAGGAAUUCUUCUGGAGCUACGAUCACAGUUCUUGCUCAACAUCAGUUGCCUUUGUGUGCAUCUGCUCAUGAGUCUGACCGUGUAGUACAGCUUGCUGGAGACAUCCCUGCAGUCUUGAGAGCUGUGGUAGAAAUUGGCUGUCAAUUGAG